RNAcentral lists this long non-coding RNA (2944 nucleotides) under Homo sapiens (human). RNAcentral's name for it is "HSALNT0381149". Lineage: Eukaryota; Metazoa; Chordata; Mammalia; Primates; Hominidae. The record is from RNAcentral.
GACCACAGAAAAAGUAGCCAGCCCACCAUCCCUAGAUGAUUUUGCAGUCUUUGCACACCAGUGUGGCCAUAGGCUUGUUUUCUCCUGGACUGAGCCUGCAGAUCCUAUGAGCAAGCAUAUGUCCUGUGCUCCACUAGUCCUAGCUGGAUCGUGGACAUAUUACCAUCAUUACAAAUAUCAAUAGUUUGUGAUUACUUCAAACAAUCUGAAGUUGAAGGACCCCAGAUAUCCUUCAAAACAGGAAUCUGCAGGCAGAUGCUGAAACCAUGAAUACAGAGGGACAACUAUGUAAGCUCGUUAACGCUGACAUAGUUUUAUGAAUGCAAACAGCCAAGGAGAGCAGAUGUUGAGUGGUUGCCAGAGUGAAAUGAGGAAGCCCUGCUGCCAGCUUCCCACCAAAAAGCAGGCUCCGGCCCUGAACGCAGGAGAGUUGCUAAAGAAGUUGCUCACAGAGGCGGGAGAGAGCAGGCUACUGGUUUCCUUCAAAAUGGAAUAGGAAACAGAAAACGUGCAUCAUUUCUUCGCACUUGAAUCAGCAACAUGACACAGGACUUUGGCAUCAGACUACUAUCACACCAAAAAAAGAGGCUUCACUUGGAGUGCUGCCACUGGAUGGGGCCUGACUUGUUUAUCCGGAAAGAAGUGACUUCCCUGGGAAGAAGGUUGCAUUUGUGAAAGCUUGUGCAGCAUUUCAAGGCUGCAUUCAGGUACAGGUCUUUGAAGAGUUUGCAUUGCUCUGUGAGUUACCAGAGGACUGCCAUCUUUAAUCCAAUUCAGACAGCAAUUCACCAGGCUUUGCAUGUGCUCAGGCCUGUUGCUCCUUAUCAGAGGCCCACAUGGAGCUCUCAGUACAGCUGCAGCCCUGGAGAAUUUCCCUGUCUCCUCCUGUUCUCUCUCUCUCCUCCUCCUCCCGCUUCUCUUCCCUGCCUCUCCCCCACCCCUAUACAAACACACACAUACACACACAGACACACAGACACACACACACACACACACACACUACUCCUUGACUCUUUAAUUUUCCUUUUAAGGCAUCAAAAUCAAUUUUGGGACUCUAUUUGGUACAAAGAGUUGAUAUGGAUUUGAUACGGAUAGAGUUGACUGAUCUCUACUCUGGGUUUGAAGAUGUUGCUGCAAAUGGAAAGGAAAUAAUCCCGGGCUAUUGUGACAGAUGACAUGGUGUAGAGGGAAGAGCGCAGGACUGAAGGUGGAGAAUCACUUGUUUAUGCAACACAUAUUUCCUGAACAUCAAAUACAAGGAUAAAGCCAUGAAGGAAACAGAGCCCUGUUUCUGCAGAACACACGUUCUGGUUGGAGAAGACAAGUAGCGAAUACACCAACAAAUAAGAGAAUAUUUGACGAUGUUGAGUGUUUUAUGAAGGGGAUAAAGAGUGACUGCAGGGCUCAGAAGGAAGCGAUUAUUUUAAGUAGGGAAGGUCUUUUGUAAGAAGGUGCUAUUUAAAUUGAGACUUUAAAGGUGUGCAACUUUGGAUAAAUUGGAAACAAGAAGGGAAGUGCAUUCUGUGGGAUCUAGUAAGAGCAGAGAGUGAUGACCAACUCCAGACCCCAAAGAGAAAGGAGAGUGAGGCUAUUGGCACUUGGAGGCAGAGAAAGCCAUGUGUAGAGGGCGGCCCGACUGAGCUAAAACCUUCAGUCUGUUGGUCUUGAGCUAUUUGAGGGUCUAUUAUGUGCAGGAUUAGUCUCGGCACUAUCGAGGAUCACAAAAGCCUGUUAGUUAUGGAGUCUUCCAGCAAUAGGCUUACAGUCAAGAAUGGGAAACAACACAUAUGCACGUAAUUUGAUUGAAAUGUAGGAAGUCUUAAGGAUGAUAGGAGGAGUUCAGAUAAAGACUAGAAAGUUCUCAGGUGCCAGAUUGCUUCCAGCCAACAGAUCAGAGGAACUGCCAUAGAGGAGGUGGCUGUGUGUGCCCUGGACCUCAAAGGAGAGAGAUGAUAUUCAGACGUGUAGCAGUGAUGGGCAGAAGCACAUUUUAAGUGGAGGGAAUGAAACAGGAUAAGCAAGACUGGUGAUUGAAAAACUCUGUUUGUCUGUGCAGAAAAGAGAAAUCUUAGUUUGACUGGAGCCUCUGGCACAUGAAAGGGAUUUAGAGUUUGCCGUUUCUGUGAACCUGUCCAUCUUCACCCUCAUGCUGUUCUCCUUUCCUCUUUUAACCUGUAUCUUCUCUCUCUUUGUUUUGUUGACUUUCUCUUUUUUGUUUUCUGUUGUCCUUUUUUAUGAGUGGAGCAUUUCAGUGCAAGAGCAAAUGGGAGUGGAGUGGGGUUCUGUGGAAUGUCAGAAAUGCAUGCUCAACCUAGAUUUCCCAAGCUCUCACUCAGUCUUAUCCCAGGGAUCACUUGACAUGAUGGGAAAUGAUGGGAAAAAAAUAAACAAUGUGAUCCCAGAGCAAAGCUUAUUUACUUUAUCCGUUUAACCCAGUUCUACUGCUUCUCUCGCCAUUUCCCAAGAACCAGGGGCAGAAAACAUGAGAAAGCAGAAGGGAGACAGAUUUUAGAGAACGUGAGUUUGUCGUUUGUCCUUCUAGGACGAGAGACCAUGUCUGCCACCACCAGUUUCAGGGAACAACUGAUUCAUUUCACAGCCCCACCAAUGUAUACAACCUGGUUUGUUCUUGAGCCAGGUGCUUUCUCAUUGGUGACAGAGCAGCAGUACUUUCCAGCAUGCUGUAUGAUUAUCCAGACUAGAGGCCCUUCCUCUGCAUGGAUUGGCCCUACUUAAGAAAAGAUACAUAAACUCUCCUGGCCUAUUCUGUGUUUUUCAUUUUUGUUUCUUUAUUCAUCAUCAAAGCCCGGUUAAAUUGGAAAACUUAAGCUCAAUGCAUUUCCACUGAUUUCUCUAGGUGCUCUCAUGAGGCUCAACAGUACACACUCAAUAAAUGCACAAUGAAUAAAUGAAUAGUUGCAAAAGGGUAUCUGGGUUAAAGAAU